UACGAAGGGGGCUAGCGUUGCUCGGAAUCACUGGGCGUAAAGGGCACGUAGGCGGUGAAUCGGGUUGAAAGUGAAAGUCGCCAAAAAGUGGCGGAAUGCUCUCGAAACCAAUUCACUUGAGUGAGACAGAGGAGAGUGGAAUUUCGUGUGUAGGGGUGAAAUCCGUAGAUCUACGAAGGAACGCCAAAAGCGAAGGCAGCUCUCUGGGUCCCUACCGACGCUGGGGCGCGAAAGCAUGGGGAGCGAACAGG
RNAcentral lists this ribosomal RNA (251 nucleotides) under uncultured bacterium. RNAcentral's name for it is "partial 16S ribosomal RNA". It matches the Rfam family "Bacterial small subunit ribosomal RNA", at positions 524 to 776 of the family's 1533-position model. The record is from RNAcentral.